This 761-nucleotide ribosomal RNA is filed under the name uncultured Chloroflexota bacterium. RNAcentral describes it as "bacterial SSU rRNA". It matches the Rfam family "Bacterial small subunit ribosomal RNA", at positions 129 to 904 of the family's 1533-position model. Lineage: Bacteria; Bacillati; Chloroflexota. The record is from RNAcentral.
CCCUCCAGAGGGGGACAACCACUGGAAACGGUGGCUAAUACCCCAUAUGCUCACGGUUGUUAGAGGGACUGUGAGGAAAGGUUCCGGCGCUGGAGGAGGGGGCUGUGGCCCAUCAGCUAGUUGGUGCGGUAACGGCGCACCAAGGCGAGGACGGGUAGGGGGCCUGAGAGGGUGACCCCCCACACGGGUACUGAGACACGGACCCGACUCCUACGGGAGGCAGCAGUAAGGGAUAUUGCGACAAUGGGCGUAAGCCUGACGCAGCAACGCCGCGUGUGGGAUGACGGCCUUCGGGUUGUAAACCACUUUUCUGGGGGAAGAGGAAGGACGGUACCCCAGGAAUAAGUCUCGGCUAACUACGUGCCAGCAGCCGCGGUAAAACGUAGGAGGCGAACGUUAUCCGGAUUUACUGGGUGUAAAGCGCGUGCAGGCGGUGGUGUAAGUCGUGUGUGAAAGCGCCCAGGCUCAACCGGGCGAGGACGGACGAAACUGCAUCACUAGAGGCAGGUAGAGGCGUGCGGAAUUCCGGGUGUAGUGGUGAAAUACGUAGAUAUCGGAAGGAACAUCAGUGGCGAAGGCGGCUAUCUGGAUAAAUACUGACACUGAGAUACGAAAGCGUGGGUAGCAAACAGGAUUAGAUACCCUGGUAGUCCACGCCGUAAACGAUGAGAACUUGCUGUUAGAUGCCAUGAGCAUUUAGUAGCGGAGCUAACGCGUUAAGUUCUCCGCCUGGGGAGUACGGCCGCAAGGUUAAAACUCAA